RNAcentral lists this ribosomal RNA (465 nucleotides) under uncultured bacterium. RNAcentral describes it as "bacterial SSU rRNA". It matches the Rfam family "Bacterial small subunit ribosomal RNA", at positions 329 to 792 of the family's 1533-position model. The record is from RNAcentral.
AUCCAGACUCCUACGGGAGGCAGCAGUGAGGAAUAUUGGUCAAUGGGCGGGAGCCUGAACCAGCCAAGCCGCGUGAAGGAAGAAGGCGCCAGGCGUCGUAAACUUCUUUUGUCGGGGAACAAAGGGCGCCACGCGUGGCGUUGUGAGUGUACCCGAAGAAAAAGCAUCGGCUAACUCCGUGCCAGCAGCCGCGGUAAUACGGAGGAUGCGAGCGUUAUCCGGAUUUAUUGGGUUUAAAGGGUGCGCAGGCGGAAUGUCAAGUCAGCGUUAAAAUUUCGGGGCUCAACCCCGUCGUGCCGUUGAAACUGGCGUUCUUGAGUGAGCGAGAAGUAUGCGGAAUGCGUGGUGUAGCGGUGAAAUGCAUAGAUAUCACGCAGAACUCCGAUUGCGAAGGCAGCAUGCCGGCUCCACACUGACGCUGAGGCACGAAAGCGUGGGUAUCGAACAGGAUUAGAUACCCCAGUA